Molecule: ribosomal RNA, 254 nt
Filed under: uncultured bacterium
Lineage: Bacteria
Description: partial 16S ribosomal RNA
Rfam family: Bacterial small subunit ribosomal RNA
Source: RNAcentral
UACGUAGGUGGCAAGCGUUGUCCGGAAUUAUUGGGCGUAAAGCGCGCGCAGGCGGUCCUUUAAGUCUGAUGUGAAAGCCCACGGCUCAACCGUGGAGGGUCAUUGGAAACUGGGGGACUUGAGUACAGAAGAGGAAAGCGGAAUUCCACGUGUAGCGGUGAAAUGCGUAGAGAUGUGGAGGAACACCAGUGGCGAAGGCGGCUUUCUGGUCUGUAACUGACGCUGAGGCGCGAAAGCGUGGGGGAGCGAACAGG